GGGGUUGUGGCUCAGCGGUAGAGCACUCACCUAGCACAAGGCCCUGGGUUCGAUCCUCAGCAUCCACA
Molecule: non-coding RNA, 68 nt
Organism: Ictidomys tridecemlineatus (thirteen-lined ground squirrel)
Lineage: Eukaryota; Metazoa; Chordata; Mammalia; Rodentia; Sciuridae
Source: Rfam